GGAGAGGUGGCGGAAUUGGUAGACGCGCUACUUUGAGGGGGUAGUGAUAAUUGUAUCGUGGGAGUUCGAGUCUCCUCCUCUUCAC
RNAcentral lists this transfer RNA (85 nucleotides) under Prevotella lacticifex. RNAcentral describes it as "tRNA-Leu". It matches the Rfam family "tRNA". Rfam says of the family: Transfer RNA (tRNA) molecules are approximately 80 nucleotides in length. Their secondary structure includes four short double-helical elements and three loops (D, anti-codon, and T loops). Lineage: Bacteria; Pseudomonadati; Bacteroidota; Bacteroidia; Bacteroidales; Prevotellaceae. The record is from RNAcentral.